This 140-nucleotide ribosomal RNA is filed under the name Simulium roraimense. RNAcentral describes it as "partial 28S ribosomal RNA". Lineage: Eukaryota; Metazoa; Arthropoda; Insecta; Diptera; Simuliidae. The record is from RNAcentral.
AUAAUAGUAUUUGUAUUAGAAAAUAUUGUGUAAUAAGUAAUUAAAAAAAAUAAUGAAUAUAUAAAAUAAUGAAAAAUUAUACAUAGCCUCAACUCAUGUGAGACUACCCCCUGAAUUUAAGCAUAUCAAUAAGCGGAGGA